Molecule: ribosomal RNA, 433 nt
Filed under: uncultured bacterium
Lineage: Bacteria
Description: partial 16S ribosomal RNA
Rfam family: Bacterial small subunit ribosomal RNA
Source: RNAcentral
AGCGAACGCUGGCGGCAGGCUUAACACAUGCAAGUCGAGCGGGCCCUUCGGGGUCAGCGGCGGCCGGGUGAGUAACGCGUGGGAACGUGCCUUCUGGUCUGGAAUAACCCUGGGAAACUAGGGCUAAUACCGGAUACGCCCUUUUGGGGAAAGGUUUACUGCCGGAAGAUCGGCCCGCGUCUGAUUAGCUAGUUGGUGGGGUAACGGCCUACCAAGGCGACGAUCAGUAGCUGGUCUGAGAGGAUGAUCAGCCACACUGGGACUGAGACACGGCCCAGACUCCUACGGGAGGCAGCAGUGGGGAAUAUUGGACAAUGGGCGCAAGCCUGAUCCAGCCAGGCCGCGGGAGUGAUGAAGGCCUUAGGGUUGUAAAGCUCUGUUAUCCGGGACGAUAAUGACGGUACCGGAGGAAUAAGCCCCGGCUAACUACGUG